Long non-coding RNA from Oreochromis niloticus (Nile tilapia), 1944 nucleotides. RefSeq lists it as uncharacterized. The record is from RefSeq and is a predicted model, not a curated record. Lineage: Eukaryota; Metazoa; Chordata; Actinopteri; Cichliformes; Cichlidae. The transcript has 3 exons.
CAAAAAAAUGUAUCAAAAAACCUUGGAUUUUGCCAUGUUUGUUUGGUCUCUUCUUGUCUUUCUACCUCCUCUUGAGCUUAAUGUAUCCACGGAAAAUGGUUAAUUUAACUCUCCACCCAGCCAAGAGGAGCCAACAUCUUUUGUAUUCAAGAAUCCUGGACUGUGGACAUGCUAGGCCGCCCCCAGGUAAACGUGUUAAAACGGUAUCUAGAUCAUUCCUGGGGGUUGUGAAUCUCUUGAUGAUAAUACUUCUGGCUGGCGAUGUUGAGGGUAACCCCGGACCUGUUUCAAGUCCUGUGCUACAGUUGCAGCAGCUCCCUGGGCUAACACCAUCACUGCUACCUGGGCUACAGCAGCUCCCAGGGCUAACACCAUCACUGCUAUCUUGGCUACAUCAGCUCCCUGGGCUAACACCAUCACUGCUACCUUGGCUACAUCAGCUCCCUGGGCUAACUGUCACGGUCCUGGGUCUUAUGACCCAGUGUUUUGAGUUUAGUUUAUUUGGAUGUUUAUAUGAUUAAGCUCAUGAGUUUUUCUAGUUUGUUAUUAGAUUCCCCUUGUGUCUUCCAACCCCUGUUAAAGUCUCCCCUGCUCUUCACGUGUUUCAUGUCUGUGUCUUACGUUGUCAAGUUCUGGUUGUCAUGUCUGCGUCUCAUUAGGUUUCCUAUUUUAUUUUGAAGAGAUCUAGUGUUUGUAUAUUAUGGUUUAUGUUUUGAGUCCUUUGUUGUACUGUCUUUGUUAUUCCCUAGGUUUCAAUUAUGGUUAUCAAAAGUUUAGUUCUUAAGUUCUGUCAUAUGGCUUCCCUGUGUGUUCCAUGUUGCCUACUGUGCCUUUCUGUACCAUGUUUCAGGUUCUUAUGUUCUGUCUCCCCAGUUGCUGUUAAGUUACAUGUCUAGAGUUCAGUCAGUGUUUCCUGUUUUACUUUGAAGGUGUCUCGUCCAGCCUGAUUACUCCCAGCUGUGCUCUCCUUCUGUGUCUCAUUCCCUCGUUAUCCCUCUGUGUAUUUAAGCCCUAUGUUUUCUCUUUGUCAGUGUCGUAGUCUCCCUCAUGACUGUGUUUCCCUGUGUGUCAGUUUAUCCAUGUCCCAGAUUAGUUUAGUUUAGUUAUGGUUUUCAUGCCACUCUGCAAUAAAGCAGCUUUUGAGUUUAAGUCCUGCGUGGUGAGUUUUGCGUUUGGGUCCUUCUCCUGCCUGCACACAGCCGAAACAUGACACUAACACCUUCACUGCUACCUCGGUUAGAGCAGCUCCCUGGUCUAACACCAUCACUGCUACCUGGGCUACAGAAGCUCCCUAGGCUACAGCAGCUUCCUAGGCUAACACCAUCACUGCUACCUGGGCUACAGCAGCUUCCUGGGCUAACACCAUCACUGCUACCUGGGCUACAGCAGCUUCCUAGGCUAACACCAUCACUGCUACCUGGGCUACAGCAGCUUCCUGGGCUAACACCAUCACUGCUACCAGGGCUACAACGGCAUCCUGGUCUUACACCAUCACUGCCACCUGGGCUACAGCAGCGUCCUGGACUAACACCAUCACUGCUACUAGGGUUACAGCAGCCUCCUGGACUAACACCAUCACUGCUACCUGGGCUAAAGCAGCUUCCUGGGCUACCAUCACUGCUACCGGGGCUACAGCAGCCUCCUGGACCAACACCAUCACUGCUACCUGGGCUACAGCAGCCUCCUGGACUAACACCAUCACUGCCACCUGGGCUACAGCAGCCUUCUGGACUAACACCAUCACUGCUACCUGGGCUACAGCAGCUUCCUGGGCUAACACCAUCAUUGCAGGUCCCGAUUACAACUAAACCUAGUUCAAGUCCAGUUACCACAAGGUGACAUGGCAGAGGUGUACUUCCCGGUGUGUCGGAUCAUUAUUCUGCUGCAUAAAGCAAGUGCACUUGAACUUCAGGGUCUGAACUGAUGGCCAGACAUUCUUCAUCU